Molecule: ribosomal RNA, 580 nt
Filed under: Enochrus (Hugoscottia) sp. IBE-AB88
Lineage: Eukaryota; Metazoa; Arthropoda; Insecta; Coleoptera; Hydrophilidae
Description: partial large subunit ribosomal RNA
Rfam family: Bacterial large subunit ribosomal RNA
Source: RNAcentral
UUUCAAUGGCUGCAGUAUUUUGACUGUACAAAGGUAGCAUAAUCAUUAGUUUCUUAAUUAGAAGCUGGUAUGAAUGGUUUAAUGAAAAAAAUACUGUCUUUAUUUAAAUUUUAAAAGAACUUUAUUUUUGAGUUAAAAAGCUUAAAUUUUUUUAANAGACGAGAAGACCCUAUAGAGUUUAAUAAUUUUAAAAAUAAUAAUUUUAAGAAUUUUAUUUAAUUUAUUUUGAUGAUUAUUUUGUUGGGGUGACAAAAAAAUAUAANAAACUUUUUUUUUAUGAAUACAUUUAUUUAUGAUUAUUUGAUCCGUUAUUUAUGAUUAUAAGAUUAAAUUACCUUAGGGAUAACAGCGUAAUUUUUUUGGCGAGUUCUUAUCAAUAAAAAAGUUUGCGACCUCGAUGUUGGAUUAAAAUUUACAAUUGGUGCAGUAGCUAAAUUGUUAGGUCUGUUCGACCUUUAAAAUUUUACAUGAUCUGAGUUUAAACCGGUGUGAGCCAGGUUGGUUUCUAUCUUUAGAUAGUUUAAAUAUUUUAGUACGAAAGGACCAAAUAUUUGUAAAAUUUAUUUUAAGUUGAAUUAAA